CCUACGGGUGGCAGCAGUGAGGAAUAUUGGUCAAUGGGAGAGAUCCUGAACCAGCCAAGCCGCGUGAGGGAAGAAGGCCCUAUGGGUUGUAAACCUCUUUUGUCGGAGAACAAAACCCGGGACGUGGCCCGGACUGCGUGUAUCCGAAGAAAAAGCAUAGGCUAAAUCCGUGCCAGCAGACGCGGUAAUACGGAGGAUGCGAGCGUUAUCCGGAUUUAUUGGGUUUAAAGGGUGCGUAGGCGGUCCGUUAAGUCAGCGGUAAAAUGGCGGGGCUCAACCCCGUCGAGCCGUUGAAACUGGCAGACUUGAGUUGGCGAGAAGUACGCGGAAUGCGCGGUGUAGCGGUGAAAUGCAUAGAUAUCGCGCAGAACUCCGAUUGCGAAGGCAGCGUACCGGCGCCAGACUGACGCUGAGGCACGAAAGCGUGGGGAUCGAACAGGAUUAGAUACCCGAGUAGUC
RNAcentral lists this ribosomal RNA (459 nucleotides) under uncultured bacterium. RNAcentral describes it as "partial 16S ribosomal RNA". It matches the Rfam family "Bacterial small subunit ribosomal RNA", at positions 338 to 795 of the family's 1533-position model. The record is from RNAcentral.